GCCUACGGGGGGCAGCAGUGGGGAAUAUUGCGCAAUGGGCGAAAGCCUGACGCAGCGACGCCGCGUGAGGGAUGAAGGUCUUCGGAUCGUCCCCCUCUGUCCGCCGGGCAGCCCGGUCCCUGUGCUCAUCAGCAGUGAAUUGACGGUACCUGCAAAGGAAGCACCGGCUCACUCCGUGCCAGCAGCCGCGGUCAUCAGGCGGGUGCGAGCGUUCGUCGGCCUUCCUGGGC
Molecule: ribosomal RNA, 230 nt
Filed under: uncultured bacterium
Lineage: Bacteria
Description: partial 16S ribosomal RNA
Rfam family: Bacterial small subunit ribosomal RNA
Source: RNAcentral